RNAcentral lists this non-coding RNA (96 nucleotides) under Algoriphagus yeomjeoni. The record is from RNAcentral. Lineage: Bacteria; Pseudomonadati; Bacteroidota; Cytophagia; Cytophagales; Cyclobacteriaceae.
GUCGUGAACAUCUAAGAGAAGUCAGCAGAGGCCAUAGUAGUCAACAGGACUUGAGCUUUGUAAAUACCAAGGAGUUCUCACGAGUUGAUAAAGGGC